Molecule: ribosomal RNA, 309 nt
Filed under: Paenibacillus sp. P9S
Lineage: Bacteria; Bacillati; Bacillota; Bacilli; Caryophanales; Paenibacillaceae
Description: bacterial SSU rRNA
Rfam family: Bacterial small subunit ribosomal RNA
Source: RNAcentral
AGUCGAGCGGACUUGAUGAGAAGCUUGCUUCUCUGAUGGUUAGCGGCGGACGGGUGAGUAACACGUAGGCAACCUGCCCUCAAGCUUGGGACAACUACCGGAAACGGUAGCUAAUACCGAAUACUUGCUUUCUUCGCCUGAAGGAAGCUGGAAAGACGGAGCAAUCUGUCACUUGAGGAUGGGCCUGCGGCGCAUUAGCUAGUUGGUGAGGUAACGGCUCACCAAGGCGACGAUGCGUAGCCGACCUGAGAGGGUGAUCGGCCACACUGGGACUGAGACACGGCCCAGACUCCUACGGGAGGCAGCAGU